This is a non-coding RNA of Schizosaccharomyces pombe (fission yeast), 568 nucleotides long. NCBI's taxonomy places the organism in Eukaryota, Fungi, Ascomycota, Schizosaccharomycetes, Schizosaccharomycetales, Schizosaccharomycetaceae. The record is from the annotation of a GenBank genome assembly.
CAGUACGGCAGACGAAAUUAAUAUAAAAAAAUGCAAACCAAUAUAACGAAAGACCAGGAAACGUAUUUCAAAAAUAUGAUUCCUUGAAAUAUAAAUGACAAUGAAGAAUAAACGCGGGAGUUUAAAACUGAUGAAUAAAUGGAGUGAACGCAUAAUCCGUAUCCAUUCCUGCCACAAAGCCAAUUGCGGAAGCAACUUCUUCCUUCAACCCAAUUGUCUCAUUAUUAGAAAACGGCAUGCCAUAAUCUUGUAAAUAGCGAAUACACUGAUCUCUUGACAAAGCGUCAACGUUACCUAUAUUGAGCAUCCGAGGCAAUUCUUCAUUCGUGACGGGGUCAGUUCCGUUUAAAAUGGAACAACCAUAAUAGGAAAUUCAAUGAUCUCGCUUGUAUGUUUUGGGUACGUACAUUGGACAUAUCAAUACGGUCCACUUUCAGCGUUAAAUAGUCCAUGCGUGUUCGCAGUUCAUCAUAAAGCCACUAAGCGUCACUUUGAUACUCUCACAUACUAUGACAUUCUUGAUUUAAAGUAAUUUUAACACUGAUAUAAUUUACAAUCUUCAUUUUUU